Long non-coding RNA from Hordeum vulgare subsp. vulgare (domesticated barley), 826 nucleotides. RefSeq lists it as uncharacterized. The transcript is spliced from 3 exons. The record is from RefSeq and is a predicted model, not a curated record. NCBI's taxonomy places the organism in Eukaryota, Viridiplantae, Streptophyta, Magnoliopsida, Poales, Poaceae.
ACCCGAACACUACUUGAUCUUAUCCGAGCGAGCCGUCCGGCGGCGCCGCGGCGGCCGGAGUCGUCUCUUCCAUCGGCCGCGCCGCCACCGCGGUCCCCCAAGCGCUUGCGGGAAGGUGGCGCGCGACGUUUGGACUGAAAAGACGCGGCAUCCGCGGCAGCAGCCGGCGACGAGCGAUGACGACUGCCUGCGGUCGGAGCGCUCGCGAUGAUGGCCGCGCGGGCUCACCCAACAUACAAAACAAUCUCCAUUGCUUCCUUGCUUUCAACAGAGUUUCUCUUUCUUUUGAUCUCGGAAAGUGCAAUCCUUUUCUUGUUGGAGUGCAUAAAGUAUGCUUCUUUCUUGGAAGUUGAGCCUUCGGUUGCUGUCAUCGAAGCGGGAAGGUGGUGGUUUUCAUGCCCGAAGACGGAUGCCCGACGACUAUAGCUUUGUAAUACGGAUUUCGUUAGGAGAUGCGGGCUGUUGCUGUUCUUUCUUGGAUUCGUUGAUGAGUGUCAUCCAGAUUCAGUCUGUUAGUAGAGGAUUCUGGUGUAAUACUGUUAAUUGUAUUUGUAUAUCAGUCAAGGUUUAGGGUCAACUUACGAGUUGACAAGUCGUUUUGAGGUUCAGACUCGAAUUCUAAUCGUGACUAAUCAAACACUAGUCGACAUUAAAUUGUAGUCAGUCGGCCCUAGAGUUAGUACUCAUGGACUGUCUUAACUUAUAAUCCAUGGUCUCGGUGCUCCGUGAGAUGCCGUUGUGAUAUGAUCUGUGAGGUGGCUGUAUACUUAAAUCUCAGCUUAACAUUGUCAAAUACAGUAUGUAAUGUUAAUUAUCUGUUCAUUUA